RNAcentral lists this ribosomal RNA (383 nucleotides) under uncultured bacterium. RNAcentral's name for it is "bacterial SSU rRNA". It matches the Rfam family "Bacterial small subunit ribosomal RNA", at positions 28 to 417 of the family's 1533-position model. The record is from RNAcentral.
GACGAACGCUGGCGGCGUGCUUAACACAUGCAAGUCGAGCGGAAAGGCCCUUCGGGGUACUCGAGCGGCGAACGGGUGAGUAACACGUGAGUAACCUGCCCCAGACUUUGGGAUAACCCUCGGAAACGGGGGCUAAUACCGGAUAUGACAUGAGCUCGCAUGGGUUUGUGUGGAAAGUUUUUCGGUUUGGGAUGGGCUCGCGGCCUAUCAGCUUGUUGGUGGGGUGAUGGCCUACCAAGGCGACGACGGGAGCCGGCCUGAGAGGGCGACCGGCCACACUGGGACUGAGACACGGCCCAGACCCCUACGGGAGGCAGCAGUGGGGAAUAUUGCACAAUGGGCGGAAGCCUGAUGCAGCGACGCCGCGUGAGGGAUGACGGCCU